RNAcentral lists this ribosomal RNA (447 nucleotides) under uncultured bacterium. RNAcentral describes it as "partial 16S ribosomal RNA". It matches the Rfam family "Bacterial small subunit ribosomal RNA", at positions 29 to 523 of the family's 1533-position model. The record is from RNAcentral.
AACGAACGCUGGCGGCAGGCUUAACACAUGCAAGUCGAGCGCCCCGCAAGGGGAGCGGCAGACGGGUGAGUAACACGUGGGAACCUUCCUCGUUGUACGGAACAACUCAGGGAAACUUGAGCUAAUACCGUAUACGUCCGAGAGGAGAAAGAUUUAUCGCAAUGAGACGGGCCCGCGUCGGAUUAGCUAGUUGGUGGGGUAACGGCCUACCAAGGCGACGAUCCGUAGCUGAUCUGAGAGGAUGAUCAGCCACACUGGGACUGAGACACGGCCCAGACUCCUACGGGAGGCAGCAGAGGGGAAUCUUGGACAAUGGGCGCAAGCCUGAUCCAGCCAUGCCGCGUGAGUGAAGAAGGCCUUCGGGUUGUAAAGCUCUUUUGUCAGGGACGAUAAUGACGGUACCUGAAGAAUAAGCCCCGGCAAACUUCGUGCCAGCCGCCGCUGUAA